Non-coding RNA from Cinara cedri, 412 nucleotides. Lineage: Eukaryota; Metazoa; Arthropoda; Insecta; Hemiptera; Aphididae. The record is from the annotation of a GenBank genome assembly.
AAGUUUUUAUAACAUACGUUAAGUGCAUUUGUUACCUUGAGCCUUAUUCAAUACCCUUUCUAUAAACACAAAUGUAUAAUAAAAAUAUUUAUGGUAAUAACGUGUUAGAUAAUAGCUAAAUAACCAUUAUUCAUUAUAUUAUUUAUAUAUCUGCAGUGUACAAUUAUUAUUAUUGGGUACCUAUGUAAAAUAAUACCGACUAGGUUGAUAAUAAUUUUAAAUUUAAUUUAUAUGUAUUAAUUUGACGUUGGCUGUUUAAUGAAAAAAUAUAUUUAGUUUUGUUUGUUAUUAUAAUGACGGUAAUGUAUUGAAUAAUAAAAAUAAUGAAGUAAAGCUUAAAAUGCGAGUGUAGUAGAACCGAUAAAUUUAUAUUUUGAUUUCAUUGGGUGAUCUAUGAGAUAAUAUAUAUAAU